CUUCCUUUGCUGUUGUAAGCUCUAAUGCUGAAACUUUAGAAGUAGAGCCAACGAAGCUGGCUAGAUAAUGCCCAACCUAUAUAUCAAAGCUAUUAAAUUAGCAAUUGCAAGAGAUCAAAAGGAAAGAUCCAAAGACUCCUUACUUGAUCAAGAGACCUAAGGGCAUCCGUCAUUCGCUAUUGGGCCCCUUGUUUAUCCAGGUACUAUUUUUCAGUAGAAGCAAAAAAAAAUCUCAGAAACUCUACCAUGGUCUUGAGAUUCUCUACCGCGAA
RNAcentral lists this long non-coding RNA (272 nucleotides) under Elaeis guineensis (African oil palm). Its description in RNAcentral is "long non-coding RNA (EGUI_LNC015996)". Lineage: Eukaryota; Viridiplantae; Streptophyta; Magnoliopsida; Arecales; Arecaceae. The record is from RNAcentral.